GAUGAACGCUGGCGGCGUGCUUAACACAUGCAAGUCGAACGAAGCACUUUAUUUGAUUUCCUUCGGGACUGAUUAUUUUGUGACUGAGUGGCGGACGGGUGAGUAACGCGUGGGUAACCUGCCUUGUACAGGGGGAUAACAGUUGGAAACGGCUGCUAAUACCGCAUAAGCGCACAGCAUCGCAUGAUGCAGUGUGAAAAACUCCGGUGGUAUAAGAUGGACCCGCGUUGGAUUAGCUAGUUGGUGAGGUAACGGCCCACCAAGGCGACGAUCCAUAGCCGACCUGAGAGGGUGACCGGCGACAAUGGGACUGAGACACGGCCCAAACUCCUACGGGAGGCAGCAGUGGGGAAUAUUGCACAAUGGGCGAAAGCCUGAUGCAGCGACGCCGCGUGAGCGAAGAAGUAUUUCGGUAUGUAAAGCUCUAUAAGCAGGGAAGAUAAUGACGGUACCUGACUAAGAAGCACCGGCUAAAUACGUG
Molecule: ribosomal RNA, 481 nt
Filed under: uncultured bacterium
Lineage: Bacteria
Description: partial 16S ribosomal RNA
Rfam family: Bacterial small subunit ribosomal RNA
Source: RNAcentral